UUUGGGUUCUGAAUUUAGACCGAAACUUCGACCUUGUGAUCAGAAUUGCACAACCAGCCAGUCCGGUCUGCAUCAUUUGCAUCAUAGCAUAUUUAUUUUCAAAAGAAACGCAAUAUAAAUAAAAAAAAAUGAAAAAAAAAAAGAAAAAAGAAGGAAAACUAAUCUCUGCAUGCAUAUCAUUUCUCAGGUACAUUCCCGAGCUUGUCCACUGAUAGAGAUGGCAACAGUCC
RNAcentral lists this long non-coding RNA (230 nucleotides) under Lathyrus oleraceus (garden pea). RNAcentral describes it as "Pisum sativum (pea) long non-coding RNA (PSAT_LNC030709)". The record is from RNAcentral. Lineage: Eukaryota; Viridiplantae; Streptophyta; Magnoliopsida; Fabales; Fabaceae.